GACGAACGCUGGCGGCGUGCUUAACACAUGCAAGUCGAACGGAAAGGCCCUGCUUUUGUGGGGUGCUCGAGUGGCGAACGGGUGAGUAACACGUGAGUAACCUGCCCUUGACUUUGGGAUAACUUCAGGAAACUGGGGCUAAUACCGGAUAGGAGCUCCGCUGCAUGGUGGGGGUUGGAAAGUUUCGGCGGUUGGGGAUGGACUCGCGGCUUAUCAGCUUGUUGGUGGGGUAGUGGCUUACCAAGGCUUUGACGGGUAGCCGGCCUGAGAGGGUGACCGGCCACAUUGGGACUGAGAUACGGCCCAGACUCCUACGGGAGGCAGCAGUGGGGAAUAUUGCACAAUGGGCGGAAGCCUGAUGCAGCAACGCCGCGUGCGGGAUGACGGCCUUCGGGUUGUAAACCGCUUUCGCCUGUGACGAAGCGUGAGUGACGGCAAUGGGUAAAGAAGCACCGGCUAACUACGUG
RNAcentral lists this ribosomal RNA (467 nucleotides) under uncultured bacterium. Its description in RNAcentral is "partial 16S ribosomal RNA". It matches the Rfam family "Bacterial small subunit ribosomal RNA", at positions 28 to 507 of the family's 1533-position model. The record is from RNAcentral.